GGAAGGAUCAUUAACGAGAAAAACGGUGCUUGCGCCGUCCUCUCAAACCACUGCGUACCGAAUCUCGUCUCUUGCGGGCAGGCCUGUCCUCCCGCGAGGAACCAAAACAGUCGUCUGAUGUUGUCAGAAACUCAUUAAAAAAAACAACUUUCAACAAUGGAUCUCUUGGCUCCGGCAUCGAUGAAGAACGCAGCGAAAUGCGAUAGCUAGUGUGAAUUGCAGAUUUUAGUGAAUCAUCGAGUCUUUGAACGCACAUUGCGCCCUUUGGUAUUCCUCAGGGCAUGCCUAUUCGAGCGUCGUUUCGACCUCGAGCUCAGCUUGGUGUUGAGGAUUGCCCCUGGCAGCCUUUAAAAGCAUCGGCGGCAGCAGCAGCUCGCAUCGCAGCACAAUGCGUGAGAGUUUGCCAUCUGUUUGUCGAAAUUACACACCUUCGGGUGGCUAUUACCAGCUCGACCUCGAAUUAGGCAGGGAUACCCGCUGAACUUAAGCAUAUCAAUAAGCGGAGGAAAAGAAACCAACAAGGAUUGCCUCAGUAACGGCGAGUGAAGCGGCAACAGCUCAAAUUUGAAAUCUGGCUCUUUCAGGGUCCGAAUUGUAAUUUGCAGAGGAUGCUUCGGCUUUGGCGCCAUCCAAAGUUCCUUGGAACAGGAUGUCAUAGAGGGUGAGAGCCCCGUGUCCGGACGGAUGCCUCUGCCAUGUGAAGCUCCUUCGACGAGUCGAGUUGUUUGGGAAUGCAGCUCAAAACGGGAGGUAAAUUUCUUCCAAAGCUAAAUACCGGCUGGAGACCGAUAGUGCACAAGUAGAGUGAUCGAAAGAUGAAAAGCACUUUGGAAAGAGAGUUAAACAGCGCGUGAAAUUGUUGAAAGGGAAGCGCUUGCUGCCAGACUCGCCCGUCGUUGCUCGGCGGGGCUUUUGCCCCGUUCACUCUUCGGCGGGCGGGCCAGCAUCGACUCGGGCGGCCGGACAAAGGCCGCGGGAAUGUGGCUCCUCCGGGAGUGUUAUAGCCCGCGGCGCAAUGCGGCCUGCCUGGGUCGAGGACUGCGCAUCUGCUCGGAUGCUGGCGUAAUGGCCGCAAGCGGCCCGUCUUGAAACACGGACCAAGGAGUCUAACAUUCGUGCGAGUGUUCGGGUGGAAAACCCGUGCGCGCAAUGAAAGUGAACGUAGGUGGGAGCCCGCAAGGGUGCACCAUCGACCGAUCCCGACGUCUUCUGAAGGAUUUGAGUACGAGCACGGAUGUUGGGACCCGAAAGAUGGUGAACUAUGCCUAAGCAGGGCGAAGCCAGAGGAAACUCUGGUGGAGGCUCGCAGCGGUUCUGACGUGCAAAUCGAUCGUCGAAUUUGGGUAUAGGGGCGAAAGACUAAUCGAACCAUCUAGUAGCUGGUUCCUGC
RNAcentral lists this unclassified non-coding RNA (1390 nucleotides) under uncultured fungus. RNAcentral describes it as "sequence contains 18S rRNA gene, ITS1, 5.8S rRNA gene, ITS2, 28S rRNA gene". The stretch from base 451 to 1390 matches the Rfam family "Eukaryotic large subunit ribosomal RNA", at positions 1 to 961 of the family's 3401-position model. The record is from RNAcentral. Lineage: Eukaryota; Fungi.